Molecule: non-coding RNA, 21 nt
Filed under: Arabidopsis thaliana (thale cress)
Lineage: Eukaryota; Viridiplantae; Streptophyta; Magnoliopsida; Brassicales; Brassicaceae
Source: RNAcentral
CUUGCGCAGAUUCUUACGGGC